This 253-nucleotide ribosomal RNA is filed under the name uncultured bacterium. RNAcentral's name for it is "partial 16S ribosomal RNA". It matches the Rfam family "Bacterial small subunit ribosomal RNA", at positions 524 to 776 of the family's 1533-position model. The record is from RNAcentral.
UACGGAGGGAGCAAGCGUUACUCGGAAUUAUUGGGCGUAAAGGGCGCGUAGGCGAUUUGAAAAGUCUUGUGUGAAAGCCCCGAGCUUAACUCGGGAAGUGCACAAGAAACUGUUGAAUUUGAGUUCCGGAGAGGAAGGCAGAAUUCCCGGUGUAGCGGUGAAAUGCGUAGAUAUCGGGAGGAAUACCAGUGGCGAGGGCGGCCUUCUGGACGGAUACUGACGCUGAGGCGCGAAAGCCAGGGGAGCAAACGGG